This 1197-nucleotide ribosomal RNA is filed under the name Triticum aestivum (bread wheat). Its description in RNAcentral is "partial small subunit ribosomal RNA". Lineage: Eukaryota; Viridiplantae; Streptophyta; Magnoliopsida; Poales; Poaceae. The record is from RNAcentral.
AUGCACCGCGAUCAUCUCAAACUCGCUUGUGGAGCUCUCGCCGGCGAGGCUGCAUACGAGCUGAGUCGACUACACAGCGGAUUAAUGGUCGGACGUGGCGGUUUCCAUGAAGUUCUUAACGUCGUUGACGAGCUUCCCGGCGUCGGGGAGCUUAGGGAACAUGUAGAAGCCAUGGAUGGCGUCCGGAAACUCCACCAGCUGCACCGCCUUCCCCUUCCGCUGCAGCAUGGCGGCGUACCGCCGCUGCCAGUCCUGCAGCGGGUCGAGCCCUCCAACCACCACCAUCGCCGGCGGGAACUCCUCCGGCAACUCGGGCUCCGGACACGCCUCACCGGUCACAUGCGCCGCCGGGUGGUUCCGAUCGGCCCCCUCCGGCAGGAACGCCUUCCAGGACCAAUCCGAGCGGCGCAUGUUCACCACCGGCCCCACGCCCUCCAGCCUCAGCUCUGCUUCCGUGCGCUCCUCGCCGCCGAAGUACGGCUGCAGCAGGAUGAUGCCGGCGAGGCGGACAGGGUUAUCAGAAGCAACAGCGGCCGAGGAGGUCCAUCGGUGGGCCACGUGGUGAGCGAUGUUGCCGCCGGCGCUGUCCCCGGCGAGGAAGCAGCGGGAGAGAUCGACCGGGACGCCGAUGUCGGCAGGGAGGCCCGCGGUGCCAAGGUAGCUGAGCACAUCCGCGCAGUCAUCGUAGGCUGCGGGGUGACGGUGCUCGGGCGCGCGUCGGUAGUUGACGGAGACGACCACGGCGCCCAGCUCGCGGCAGAAGCGGCGACACAUGGCGUCCAGGGGCGCGGACGACGCGGAGAGCAGCGCAAAACCGCCACCGUGACAGUACACGACGACCGGGAGCGGCGCCGCCUCGGGUUUACCCACGGACGGGGAGAAGACGCGCGCCCAGAGGUUCCUGGCGGCGUCGACAACGACGUCGGCGGAGCGGACGCCGAGCGCGUCCGGGCGCGGCCUCGCCGGGGUCUGGCGGUCGACGAGCGAGAAGAGGAAGCGGUUCACGGUGCCGUCGCGGCGCUGCGAGAGGUCGCAGGCGGCCCCGAGCGCGAGCACCUGGAGCCGCACCGUCCACGGCAGCACCGGAGGCGCCGGCCGCGCGCUCUCGGCUCCCGCCAUCAGUUUCUUGGCUCUUCUACUUGGCCGCCUCCGUCUCGCUGCCCUUUCUCCGUUGUGCACACGAGAGAGAUUGAAUAA